CAGCCUCUAUACAUGGUAACAGCUGAUGUACGUGAAGGCCAAUGGAGAAGUGACAGAACCUCGAGCAAGAUUUAACUACCAGCAUGUUACUUCAGCCUCAUCAGUUAAGUUACUUGUACAGUAUAUCUUAGCUAAUAUCUUUAUCCAAUAAACCACUCGACAAUGCUCCUACACUGGGCAGUGGAGGGUGUGUGUGUAGCAGUCCAAUAAAACCAACUUUAUUUGGUCCUUUACGAAUUUGAAUAUACCCUAAAAAUUUUACGUUCUAACAAAGUAACAAAUGCAACAUCCACAAGAACACAAAUAAUUAAAAUUAAAUAACUCACAAAUAUAACUAAAGCCAUCACAAACUGUUUUAUUCAAACAUUUCUGAAUAAAUGUUUAUUACUUAUAGAAAACUCUAUCUAAUUACAUCCUAAAUCUAAUGCAUCACAUCUGCCAAAGUAAUAUAGUUAAUCUACACUUAAAAAUUAUUUUAAUUACUAAAUCCUUUCGUACUAAAGUAAUUUUUGUUUUCUUAAAAGAUAGAAACCAACCUGGCUCACGCCGGUUUGAACUCAAAUCAUGUAAAAAUUUAAAGGUCGAACAGACCUACCUCCACAACUCCUACGCCAUGGCGAAUUUUUAAUUCAACAUCGAGGUCGCAAAUUUUUUGUCGAUAUGAACUCUCAAAAUAAAUAACGCUGUUAUCCCUAAAGUAACUUAAAUUUUUAAUCAACAACAAGGAUCAUUACACACAAAUAUCUCUGUAUUUUAAAUUUAAACAGUUACAAAUUAUAUCAUCGUCGCCCCAACGAAAUAAUUUAGUAUAUAAAUAAUAUUAAACUUUCAACUCAUCUAAUUGUAUACUAAAUUAUUAAGCUUUAUAGGGUCUUAUCGUCCCUUUAAAAUAUUUAAGCCUUUUCACUUAAAAGUCAAAUUCGAUUUUUGUGUUUGAGACAGUUUGCUUCUUGUCCAACCAUUCAUACAAGCCUCCAAUUAAGAGACUAAUGACUAUGCUACCUUCGCACGGUUAAAAUACCGCGGCCCUUUAGUUUGAUCCCAGUGGGCAGGUUAGACUUUAUAAACCAUCAUAUAGACAUGUUUUUGAUAAACAGGCAGAAGCUUUAUUUGCCGAGUUCCUUAACCCACACCAAUCAAUAUUUAAAAUUUAUUAAUUUUUUAAUAUUUUACUAUUUACAAAAUUUUCUACUAAUAAAAUCAUUUUAUCUAUAAAUACAAAGAUUAUCAACAUUUUUAGAUACAACUACAAGAAGAAUAUAAAUAACUUUAACUCAAAAAUUAGUUAAAACACUUUACUCAUAUGGCUACUUCUAAGCCUAAUUCAACUAUUAAAUAAAUUUCUUCUAUACUUUUUUAUAUUUUGAAUAAGAAGCUCAACCCUCCUAUUCUUACAUUUAACUUUCCUUAAAUAUUAAAACUGAAUUAAAUUCAUUUCUCUAAAAACCAGAUAUCAAAGGAAUCGGAAGCGCGUCA
Molecule: long non-coding RNA, 1476 nt
Organism: Homarus americanus (American lobster)
Lineage: Eukaryota; Metazoa; Arthropoda; Malacostraca; Decapoda; Nephropidae
Exons: 3
Source: RefSeq, a predicted model, not a curated record